RNAcentral lists this ribosomal RNA (484 nucleotides) under uncultured bacterium. RNAcentral describes it as "partial 16S ribosomal RNA". It matches the Rfam family "Bacterial small subunit ribosomal RNA", at positions 28 to 507 of the family's 1533-position model. The record is from RNAcentral.
AUUGAACGCUGGCGGCAUGCUUUACACAUGCAAGUCGAACGGCAGCGCGGGCUUCGGCCUGGCGGCGAGUGGCGAACGGGUGAGUAAUGCAUCGGAACGUGCCCAGUAGUGGGGGAUAGCCCGGCGAAAGCCGGAUUAAUACCGCAUACGACCUGAUGGUGAAAGCGGGGGGCCGAAAGGCCUCGCGCUAUUGGAGCGGCCGAUGUCGGAUUAGCUAGUUGGUGGGGUAAAGGCUUACCAAGGCGACGAUCCGUAGCUGGUCUGAGAGGACGACCAGCCACACUGGGACUGAGACACGGCCCAGACUCCUACGGGAGGCAGCAGUGGGGAAUUUUGGGCAAUGGGGGCAACCCUGAUCCAGCCAUGCCGCGUGCGGGAUGAAGGCCUUCGGGUUGUAAACCGCUUUUGUUCGGGAAGAAAUCCUCUGGGCUAAUACCCCGGGGUGAUGACGGUACCGGAAGAAUAAGCACCGGCUAACUACGUG